UGACCCGGAGAUGUUUGGCCCGGAGA
Molecule: small RNA, 26 nt
Filed under: Bombyx mori (domestic silkworm)
Lineage: Eukaryota; Metazoa; Arthropoda; Insecta; Lepidoptera; Bombycidae
Description: ovarian small RNA-31565
Source: RNAcentral